RNAcentral lists this ribosomal RNA (877 nucleotides) under uncultured eukaryote. Its description in RNAcentral is "SSU rRNA". It matches the Rfam family "Eukaryotic small subunit ribosomal RNA", at positions 636 to 1469 of the family's 1831-position model. The record is from RNAcentral.
CGGUGUUCAACUGGCGUGUCCGCGGGACGUCCUGCCGGUGGGCUUAGCCCGCAAGGGCGGCCCAACUUCAAAUCCCAUCGCGGUGCUCUUCACUGAGUGUCGAGGUGGGCCGGCACGUUUGCUUUGAACAAAUUAGAGUGCUUAAAGCAGGCUAAAACUUCGCCUGAAUACUGUGUGCAUGGAAUAAUGGAAUAGGACCUCGGUUCUAUUUUGUUGGUUUUCGGAACCCCGAGGUAAUGAUUAAUAGGAACGGAUGGGGGCAUUCGUAUUGCGACGUUAGAGGUGAAAUUCUUGGAUCGUCGCAAGACGGACAGAAGCGAAAGCAUUUGCCAAAAACGCUUUCAUUGAUCAAGAACGAAAGUUAGAGGUUCGAAGGCGAUCAGAUACCGCCCUAGUUCUAACCAUAAACGAUGCCAGCUAGCGAUCCGUCGACGUUCCUCCGAUGACUCGACGGGCAGCUUCCGGGAAACCAAAGCUUUUGGGUUCCGGGGGAAGUAUGGUUGCAAAGCUGAAACUUAAAGGAAUUGACGGAAGGGCACCACCAGGAGUGGAGCCUGCGGCUUAAUUUGACUCAACACGGGAAACCUCACCAGGCCCGGACACCGGAAGGAUUGACAGAUUGAGAGCUCUUUCUUGAUUCGGUGGGUGGUGGUGCAUGGCCGUUCUUAGUUGGUGGAGCGAUUUGUCUGGUUAAUUCCGAUAACGAACGAGACUCUAGCCUGCUAACUAGGCGUAUUUUCGACAUCUCAAAGGUCCGUCGUCCCGGCCCUCGGGUCGUGGGCGUGCGCGAUUUUUACUGUCGGCGUACUAUCAAUUCUUCUUAGAGGGACAGGUGGCUUCUAGCCGCACGAGAUUGAGCAAUAACAGGUCUGUGAUG